UCCUCCCGCCGCCUCCGCGCGGCUCCCCGGGGCGGGGGGACCGGGUUUUACAGCCCCCCUAAAUCCCCUCGGCUGGCCGGGUUGAAGCCCCUCUGGCCCUCCCGCCGGCUGUCACCGCCUCAGCCUGGCUGCUCCGCCGUGCCAGGCGGCCCUCGGCUGGGGAGAGCAUUUUGUGAGCGGAAAAUCCGGUGGCUCACGGGGAAGCGUGAGGUGUGCUCGGUACACACACACACGUGCCGGCUCUGAUGCAGAACACCUCGGACAUUCCCCUCCUGUCGCUAGAGGCGGGGGGAAACCCAAAAAAAACACCUCGCUCUGAGCCGCCGCGACUCCCCGGGUUCCUCUUGCUUUUUUUUUUAGCUCGUGAAUCGUCCUGACAACUGGAUCAGCUCUGAAAGAAAGAGUUUGUUUUUCACCUCAGAGAAAACACGGUGCCCUGGGCGGACAGCGCAGAGAACUGGCGCGUCUCCCCGGCGCUAAAGCAACGGCAGGUCUGGCGCCGUUCCCGAAUCUCGCCGUGUAUUCCACCCAAAACUGCUGGAGCCGCUCCGGUUGUCAGGGAGCAGCUUGUGUGCUGGCAGGUCUGUGCCCUGGGAGAAAAGGUGCCCAGCGAGCAGCCAGCUUGGUGCAGCGAGGGCUGCCACCAGGAGAGGUGAUGCUCUGCUCCUUGGAAACACACCGCACACGCAGCCGGGCUUGGCCUCGCUGACGUGGUGAUGUCUCUCACCCGUCUCAUUCUGCCAAGGAAUUGUGCCCUACGUCUGCUGCCGAAGUUGCAUGCAGACAACAACAAAAAAAAAAGCCCAGGAAGGUUGUGCCUUAGGGGCAAAACACGUUGCACAGUCGCGUCUGUUGAAGGAACACGUGGUUGUGCCAAGUCAAGCUCCUGAAGUCCAGAAGCAGUUUGUUGGCCAGGAGCUACUGAAACUCCUCUAUCUCUAGCUAAAGAAAGGAAGAAAAUCUUGACCUACUUGAGGAAAGAGGGUUAUUACAUUCCACAAAAUCCAGUGUGACAUAAACUUUGAGUGCACGAGCAGAAACAGGGCCCAGAACACGACUUUUCCAUGUCACGGAAGUGCUGUAAAGUUCUCUCCAAGGAGGAUCUAUCCCACCAAAUGUUUUGCCAGACGUCUGGUCUACCUGAGAGUUGUAAACCUGCUGAAAAUCAGACUUUGAUCUCAUUUGUGACCCAGCAGUUGCUGCCUGCUCACUGCAGACACUGUUAGUCCAGACAAUAUGGUAGGAAUGAAGGAGGAUAUGAACUUACCUGUUCUCUCUAGAGCAUUUGAAUUCAAAACUCUUUUAAUUUAAUAUAGAUGUUGUUGGGUUUUCCUCUCUUCACACAUGGGACUGACUUGAGAUUCCCUUUAACAUCUAUAUUCAGCCGUGAGGAAAGUCCAUUUUUGUCUGUGCUUGAAAACCUUGCACAAAUCUGUAUCCAGAAUUAUUAGAGAUACUGGAUACUCAGUGGAGCAUUUCCAGAAGUGUUACCAGCGUGAACAGCAUCAUCUGGACAACACGAGGUUUGACAGCAAUUGUCAUUUCCAGGACUGCUUUGAAUUACAGAUGCAACCAGUGGCCACUCUCCACAUCCCUAACCAGAAGCCACAGGGACCACCCAGCUGAGCAGCUGCCUCCUCAACAAAGCAGGAUGGGAAGGGUCUGACCAAAGGGCUUGGAAGCAUUUAGCCAGAAAAACGUUAGUGUCCUGGGAUCACUGCUGCAAAAUCUUCAGUCCCAUUGCAAUGCACCACCCUUCCAAGGCUGGGCAAGGUGCAAGUCAUGCAAAGUGGGAACAGGGGUUAUGUUCUCUAGAACUAAUUGUAAACCUUUUUCAUUAACCCAGGGCUGUAGAAGCGACUAAAUGGAGAGGUGGAAAAGGGGCUGGCAUUUCUUGCAUAGGAAUCAAGUAUUCAGAUUUCCUUAUGAAGCUCAUGUAGUCUUGCCAAAGGCAAAAAUUGCUGGCAAAACACGGAGCCUUGAAAAGGUUUCUGAACAGCGAAGCUGCACCUCUAAGGAGGAGACAAUUUAUAGUACUCCAGUUAUUUUUAUUUGUAACAUUCCCUGUUUUUUGCUACGAUGUACCCUUCUUAAGGAAAAGAACUAGUCAUCUGACAAAUGAUGGCACCAGUCCUUUUUUUCCAUCAGAGACUGCAGUGCACUGCAGGUGACCAACUGCUCCGUGCUCUGGGAACACCUCAGAGUGACAGCCCAAGGAAAAGAAGGGUUGUUUUCUGCUCAGUGAUGACAAUCACAAGUAGAAAGAAAAGACAGGUCAAGAGGUUUGAAGUCCAGUUAGUCCUAACUUGAGGCAGGAAAAAUGGACUAGAUGAGCCUGCUAGAAUGCCUCUGUCUUCCUGCAGGGCUUGAGCUCUUGAGUGACUUCAGGCAGCUAGACAGGGGACAGCUGGUUGGUCAGCAGCGUUGUGACCUGGCGGGUGAGACACUGGGACUGGCCAGAAAACCAGGCAGAUUUGGACACACGCUGAGCGGGUGUGCUGACCCCUCUCUGAUGUCACUCUAACUUGAGCCAAAUUAGUUAAAAAGUUACUUUCAUCAACCUGCAACUAGAUACAUUCACGCAGUAGUUAUGACUUCCACAGGGAUGACCUGUGGUGAACCUUGUCUUGUAUUAAUAGCUUGGCAAAUCAUUGGAGAAGACACUGAAAACCUCCUGAAGGCAGUUUCAGUGAGCCUGGCAGGGUGCAGGCAGCAGUCAUUCCCAAGGCCUGGCCCUGUGGGAUUCACACCCUUGCUGCCUGGGUGAAGCUGGAAGUCAGGAAGGUGAUUUCUGGAAAAGAGGGGUGUCCCGUGAAGCCCCUCCUCACAGCCAGCCCAGAGGAGGAGGAGGUACCACCCACCAUCACCCAAACACAGCACAGGGCACUGCUGAGACCCACAGCCAGUGGGUCAGCAAUCCAGGAAGCAAACACUGCUUCAUCCACAUACAAUUAGAAACAACUCAACACGGAAUAAUUAAAAAAAAAACCAACAACCCAACACUUUUUUAUUUAGACAAACACAAGAAGAGCUAGAUAGGAUUUAUGAGCCAAGUUUUUUUUGGUUGGAGAGCCAAUGUGUACUUGAAAGCAUUGCAAGAGACCAAGUCUUUAGCAGCGUGUUGUAAUCAUUUGUGAAACUGCAUGAGACAGAUGUAUUUAUUUCUUUAAACCAAUUACUUCCCGUCCUCUCAGGGAUGGAUGAGCCCCCAGCUACAAUUCCUUUUCAUUCCGGUGCUUGUGACGAUGGAGAUGAAAUGUGAUUUUCCUUUCUAAUAAAUGAUCCAAAAAAGCAAAAAAAAAAAAAAGAAAAAGCAUGUGUUUCUCUGUUCUGGAAAAUAGGUCUCGGCAUGCUGGAAAUUCUGCAUUUUAGUUGUUUUCUACCACAAAUGCUCCAUUUUUAUUUUUUUUUUAAUGAAAUGAAUAAUCGUUUUCUCUGAUUUAUGUUUUCUUUUCUGCCUCAUUUGGCACUAAUGCUAUGUUAUUACAAGAACAACUGUUCCCUGCAAAAAGAAUGAUCUUUAGACAUCUCAUCCAAAACCUUUGAAGUCACGGGAAACAAACUGAAAAGAAAGGCAGAGAGGCCAUGUACAUGAGCAGCAACUGGACACUUUCCCACUGACCAAGCAGGUUUCUUGCUCAUCACCUGAUGACAGGGAGCUGCAGUUUCCUACACCUUCUCAGACACAAAGAAAAACUCCCUUCCAGGUCAGGUACCAAGUCCACGGCUUGCAGUUUUCAGGUCAGAAGUCAGAAACGGUGAUAAAACGUGGGACAGACAGGGCACAGCCGAGUCCCAGGAGCGAAAGCAGAGGCUGGGGAAGUCUUCACUGUUGAGCAUCCCUGGGAUGUGAAGCGGCACCGUCGCCAGCUUCAGGAUAACAGCAGCAGUACCAAGUGCCACAGCUCCCGAGCUCUCGAGGUUUGAGGCAUGUGCUGGCAAGCCAGACGGCAACGAGGAGUGUUUUAAAGAGGAACUUGGAGAGGAAUCGGGAGGGAAUUAGUGUCAGGCGUGUGUAAAGAGGGUUCCUUUUCCCAUUUCCAACGUCUAUCAUUACAUCUCAAACGUGCUAAUAAAAUCCAGUGGUUACGG
Molecule: long non-coding RNA, 4092 nt
Organism: Apus apus (common swift)
Lineage: Eukaryota; Metazoa; Chordata; Aves; Apodiformes; Apodidae
Exons: 4
Source: RefSeq, a predicted model, not a curated record